UCCCCUAGUAACUGCGAGUGAAGCGGGAAAAGCUCAAAUUUAAAAUCUGGCAGUCUUUGGCUGUCCGAGUUGUAAUCUAGAGAAGUGUUGCCCACGCUGGACCGUGUAUAAGUCUUCUGGAAUGAAGCAUCAUAGAGGGUGAGAAUCCCGUCUUUGACAUGGACUCCCAGUGUAUUGUGGCGUGCUCUCAAAGAGUCGAGUUGUUUGGGAAUGCAGCUCUAAAUGGGUGGUAACCUCCAUCUAAAGCUAAAUAUUGGCAAGAGACCGAUAGUGAACAAGUACCGUGAGGGAAAGAUGAAAAGAACUUUGGAAAGAGAGUUAAACAGUACGUGAAAUUGUUGAAAGGGAAACGCUUGAAGUCAGUCACAUUGGCCAGGGAUCAACCCAACUCUUUUGUUGGGUGUACUUCCUGGUUUGAUGGGCCAAUGUCAGUUUUGACUGCUAGAGAAGGGCAGAGGGAAUGUGGCACCUUUCCAGGGUGUGUUUAUAGACUUUUGUCAUAUAUAGCAGUUNGGACUGAGGUAUGCAGCGCACCUACAAGGCCGGGUUUUGACCACGUUUGCGCUUUGGAUAUUGGCAAUAAUGGCUUUAAUCGACCCGUCUUGAAACACGGACCAAGGAGUCUAACAUAUCUGCGAGUGUUUGGGUGG
RNAcentral lists this ribosomal RNA (650 nucleotides) under Amanita sp. Its description in RNAcentral is "LSU rRNA". It matches the Rfam family "Eukaryotic large subunit ribosomal RNA", at positions 76 to 701 of the family's 3401-position model. Lineage: Eukaryota; Fungi; Basidiomycota; Agaricomycetes; Agaricales; Amanitaceae. The record is from RNAcentral.